CCUACGGGUGGCAGCAGUCGAGAAUCAUUCACAAUGGGGGAAACCCUGAUGGUGCGACGCCGCGUGGGGGAAUGAAGGUCUUCGGAUUGUAAACCCCUGUCAUGUGGGAGCAAAUUAAAAAGAUAGUACCACAAGAGGAAGAGACGGCUAACUCUGUGCCAGCAGCCGCGGUAAUACAGAGGUCUCAAGCGUUGUUCGGAAUCACUGGGCGUAAAGCGUGCGUAGGCUGUUUCGUAAGUCGUGUGUGAAAGGCGCGGGCUCACCCCGCGGACGGCACAUGAUACUGCGAGACUAGAGUAAGGGAGGGGGAACCGGAAUUCGCGGUGUAGCAGUGAAAUGCGUAGAUAGCGAGAGGAACGCUCGUGGCGAAGGCGGGUUCCUGGACAUUAACUGACGCUGAGGCACGAAGGCCAGGGGAGCGAAAGGGAUUAGAUACCCUAGUAGUC
This 446-nucleotide ribosomal RNA is filed under the name uncultured bacterium. RNAcentral's name for it is "partial 16S ribosomal RNA". It matches the Rfam family "Bacterial small subunit ribosomal RNA", at positions 338 to 795 of the family's 1533-position model. The record is from RNAcentral.